AACGAACGCUGGCGGCAGGCUUAACACAUGCAAGUCGAACGGGUGUAGCAAUACAUCAGUGGCAGACGGGUGAGUAACACGUGGGAACCUUCCUAGGGGUACGGAACAACUCAGGGAAACUUGAGCUAAUACCGUAUACGUCCGUAAGGAGAAAGAUUCAUCGCCCCUAGACGGGCCCGCGUCGGAUUAGGUAGUUGGUGGGGUAACGGCCUACCAAGCCUACGAUCCGUAGCUGAUCUGAGAGGAUGAUCAGCCACACUGGGACUGAGACACGGCCCAGACUCCUACGGGAGGCAGCAGUGGGGAAUCUUGGACAAUGGGCGGCAAGCCUGAUCCAGCCAUGCCGCGUGAGUGAAGAAGGCCUUAGGGUUGUAAAGCUCUUUUACCAGGGACGAUAAUGACGGUACCU
Molecule: ribosomal RNA, 409 nt
Filed under: uncultured bacterium
Lineage: Bacteria
Description: bacterial SSU rRNA
Rfam family: Bacterial small subunit ribosomal RNA
Source: RNAcentral